CGGGAAUGAUGUAGUACAUAGCCAGUUCUGUGAAGUUACUGCAUGUUCCCAUCUCUGCUUAGAGCAUAUUCCCCUAUGAAAAUGCGCUGCUGCUUUCAAAGGAGUUUCUGUUCUGCUUCAUCCUCUCUGGUUCCUGUGCAGCUUCCUUCUCCAAUGGAAACUCAUUUUUGGUAUGUUUUGCCGGAUCAAGUCAAGAGUGUAUCGCUUUUAAAUCAAUACAUGGGACUUCUAUCUCCAAUUGAGAAAGAAAAUGUUCUAUCCAUGCCUGGACACCAGCUUCAGAAAAGGGCACUCCUAGCUCGUGCCUUGGUUCGCACCACCAUUGCCAGAUAUCAGAUAAAUGGCCAUGUUGAUCCAAGAUCUUUGAAAUUCAAGAAAAACAUACAUGGGAAGCCUGAGGUGGUGUGGCAAAGUGAAGAUGGCUGGUGCCAACCACAUUUACAUUUCAACAUUUCAC
This 457-nucleotide unclassified non-coding RNA is filed under the name Hevea brasiliensis (rubber tree). Lineage: Eukaryota; Viridiplantae; Streptophyta; Magnoliopsida; Malpighiales; Euphorbiaceae. The record is from RNAcentral.